Molecule: non-coding RNA, 24 nt
Filed under: Arabidopsis thaliana (thale cress)
Lineage: Eukaryota; Viridiplantae; Streptophyta; Magnoliopsida; Brassicales; Brassicaceae
Source: RNAcentral
AACUGCAACUGGAAGAUAUACUGC